AACGAACGCUGGCGGCAUGCCUAACACAUGCAAGUCGAACGAGACCUUCGGGUCUAGUGGCGCACGGGUGCGUAACGCGUGGGAACCUGCCCUUAGGUUCGGAAUAACUCCCCGAAAGGGGUGCUAAUACCGGUUAAUGUCUUCGGACCAAGGAUUUAUCGCCUUUGGAUGGGCCCGCGUUGGAUUAGCUAGUUGGUAGGGUAAAAGCCUACCAAGGCGACGAUCCAUAGCUGGUCUGAGAGGAUGAUCAGCCACACUGGGACUGAGACACGGCCCAGACUCCUGCGGGAGGCAGCAGUGGGGAAUAUUGGACAAUGGGCGAAAGCCUGAUCCAGCAAGGCCGCGUGAGUGAUGAAGGCGUUAGGGUUGUAAAGCUCUUUUACCCGGGAUGAUAAUGACAGUACCGGGAGAAUAAGCUCCGGCUAACUCCGG
RNAcentral lists this ribosomal RNA (432 nucleotides) under uncultured bacterium. RNAcentral's name for it is "partial 16S ribosomal RNA". It matches the Rfam family "Bacterial small subunit ribosomal RNA", at positions 29 to 506 of the family's 1533-position model. The record is from RNAcentral.